AAGUCGUAACAAGGUUUCCGUAGGUGAACCUGCGGAAGGAUCAUUAAUGAUUGAACGUCUGUCGAGCUUGCUCACAGGCACAUCAUAUCCAUAACACCUGUGCACUUGUCGGAUGGCUUAGUGAAGACCGCAAGGUUGGAUCUAUCCAUCUACUUUACAUAACAAUUCUGUAACAAGUGUAGUCUUAUUAUAACAUAAUAAAA
Molecule: unclassified non-coding RNA, 203 nt
Filed under: plant metagenome
Description: partial contains small subunit ribosomal RNA and internal transcribed spacer 1
Rfam family: Eukaryotic small subunit ribosomal RNA (bases 1-46)
Source: RNAcentral